Molecule: transfer RNA, 65 nt
Filed under: Trinomys iheringi (Ihering's Atlantic spiny-rat)
Lineage: Eukaryota; Metazoa; Chordata; Mammalia; Rodentia; Echimyidae
Description: tRNA-Lys
Source: RNAcentral
CAUUAUGAAGCUAACCAGCAUUAACCUUUUAAGUUAAAGAUUGAGAAUUUUAUUCUCCAUAAUGA